UACGUAGGUGACAAGCGUUGUCCGGAUUUACUGGGCGUAAAGAGCGCGCAGGCGGUCGUUCAAGUCGAGUGUGAAAGCCCCCGGCUCAACUGGGGAGGGUCACUCGAUACUGAUCGACUCGAAGGCAGGAGAGGGUAGUGGAAUUCCCGGUGUAGUGGUGAAAUGCGUAGAUAUCGGGAGGAACACCAGUGGCGAAGGCGGGUCUCUGGACAGUUCCUGACGCUGAGGCACGAAGGUCAGGGGAGCAAACGGG
This 253-nucleotide ribosomal RNA is filed under the name uncultured bacterium. RNAcentral's name for it is "partial 16S ribosomal RNA". It matches the Rfam family "Bacterial small subunit ribosomal RNA", at positions 524 to 776 of the family's 1533-position model. The record is from RNAcentral.